RNAcentral lists this ribosomal RNA (945 nucleotides) under Teratorhabditis andrassyi. Its description in RNAcentral is "SSU rRNA". It matches the Rfam family "Eukaryotic small subunit ribosomal RNA", at positions 661 to 1619 of the family's 1831-position model. Lineage: Eukaryota; Metazoa; Nematoda; Chromadorea; Rhabditida; Rhabditidae. The record is from RNAcentral.
UGAAUUCCUCAUGUCCCAGCAAUGUUUACGUGGGUAUGAGAGACAAUUAAUGUAGAUUAAUAAUCGGUAUGGGCUUGCAAGGAUGUGUAGUUUACUCUGAAGAAAUUUCGGUCGUGUCUCAAUAAUCCACGCUGCUUACCACUUAAACGUUUUGUGUCAUUGAAUUAAUGGAGAAAUGAAUUUCGAUUCCUUACUGUUGUUAUGCGGUAUUCGAAUUAAUGACUUAAGAGGGACCAUCGGGGGGCAUGUGUAUUCAUGCGCGAGAGGGUGAAAUUCAUGGACCGCAGCGAGACGGCAUACAGCGAAAGCAUUUUCCAAGAAUGUCUUCAUUAAUCCAGACCGAAAAGUCAGAGGUUCGAAGGCGAUUAGAUACCUCCGUAGUUUUGACCGUAAACGAUACCAUCCAGCGAUCCGGCGGCGGUAUUUUUGCCUCGCCGGGGAGCUUUCCGGAAACGAAAGACUUCCGGUUCCGGGGGUAGUAUGGUUGCAAAGCUGCUUCUUAAAGGAAUUGACGGAAUCGCGGCACCAGGAGGGGAGCCUGCGGCUUAAUUUGACUCAACACGGGAAAACUCACCCGGCCCGAACACUGUAAGGAUUGUCAGACUGAAAGCUCUUAAGCGAUUCGGUGGUUGGUGGUGCAUGCCCGUUCUUAGUGGGAGGAGCGAUUUGUCUGGUUUAUUCCGAUCACGAGAGAGACGCACGCCUACUCAAUCCGACCCGAGUAAGUUCGCUCGGUGUCGUUCGUAGAGGAAUGGGCGGUAUAGAACCGCAUGAAAGUGCGCAAUAACAGGUCUGUGAUGCCCUUAGAUGUCAGGGGCUGCACGCGUGCCACACGGGGGUCUGCAACGGCUCCAUGGCCGAAAGGUCAUUGGUGAACGGUCGAAAUGACUCCGUGAUCGGGAUCGGGAAUUGCAACUAUUUCCCUUGAUCGAGGAAUGCCUCGUG